This 119-nucleotide ribosomal RNA is filed under the name Cebus imitator (Panamanian white-faced capuchin). Lineage: Eukaryota; Metazoa; Chordata; Mammalia; Primates; Cebidae. The record is from RNAcentral.
GUCUAAGGCCAUACCACCCUGAACGUGCCCCAUCUCAUCUGAUCUCAGAAGCUAAGCAGGGUCGGGCCUGGUUACUACUUGGAUGGGAGACCGCCUGGGAAUACCGGGUGCUGUAGGCU